GUUUAAAAGCACUAUUUGACCCACCGAUACCUCCUACUCUCGUUUUAUGAAUCGUACACCAUCACUGCAAAUAGCGACUGAAUCGCCAUGUUUGAUUUGUCCGUGAUUCCUAGCGAUAGCGAAGCGCGACGUGUGCUAACGUUUCAGGAGGAGUAGGGAGUUUGUUCCAAAAGGUGGGGCAAAUGUAUUUGUUCCCACUGAACCCCCCGCCAUUUUCGCUUAUCCUUCAAACACUGCUCCCUGAGAGACUAUGGCGACUCUUCACUUCCAUACACUGCACCCCUACACUCUUUAUUUAAUGUUUAUUGUCUAGAGUGAACGAUAAAUGUACACGGCAAGUAUACUUUAUCAUCAUAGUAUUUCAGAAAAAUUGGGUAUUUCAACCAUGUUGUAUGUUUCAAGAAUGUACUUAAGAGUCACAGAGAAGCUAAAUCAACUGACUAUCAAGAUAAAUCAUUUUGUUCCUGAAAAUGUAAGCAUUAAUAGUAAGUACUAAAAUGAAGUAAUAUAUCGAAAAUAGAGUUGAUCGAUUUAACUUCUGAGUGAUUCAUAUUAGAUUGUACAAAUAAAAUUUAUUAUAAUUAACAAUUCAAGUUUUAAGUAGGUGACUAUAUUGUAGGAAAAAUGUAAAAAGUAUCGUACUUUCUAAUAAAUUGGAAGUCUUUUCAAGUCGAUUCCUCGCGAUUUCGUUGUUUGUGGCUCGAAGUUCAACACUCACGUUAUUCAAUAUGUUCCCUGUAUAUCUAUGAUUCUGUAACUUCGCUAAACAAGAACCUUUAAUUUUUAGUCAGCACUCGAUCGAGUGAGGUGAAAUGGGCUUAUAAGUCGUAAAUAGAAAGUGAGAUGUAUAUAUAUGUAUAGUAUGAUUGUAAGAGUAUAUGUAUGUGUGUAUGUAUACAUAUAUGUAUAUGCAUGUAAGUACAUGCUGUUUUCUAUGCUACGACUGAAAUGAUAGCAGUUUUAUAUCUUUUUAAUGCAACGUAAUUUCGCUGUUUAUUACCGACGACGCUUGAUCUCAAGAAAUAUCCGGAACAUGACGUAUAUAUUUUUAACAUAAGCCCCUGACACAUCAAAAAUAAGUUUUUUAUAUAUCAUCGGAAUUGUCCAAUUAUUUCUUUGAUUUUGUAACAUACAUAAGAUGAUAAAAUAAAUCACCUCUAUUUAUAAAUUACAAUUUUUACGAGCGAUAAUUUUCUUCUCGAUUAUCUGCAAUUAAAGUAGAAAUUUAAUCGAAAUAGCGUGAAAGUUUAUAAUUCAUAAAAGAAUGACUUGGAUAGCAGGUAACGAGGAGGUAAAACGACGUAGCUAAAUUAUUUGCUAAACCGAAGUUAUACAUAUUGUGUUUGGUGCGGUACAGAUAUGUCGACCUACUUUACACAUAGUUACAUAUAAUUGUCUUAUGGCUUAUUAUACACAUUAAAUUCUAUACUUACUAUUGAAUUGAUAGCUAGAUACAGAUUUUUUUUCGCACAUAUCGUAUCUUUCGAUUUAAUAAUAUCAAAAUAUCGUCGAUGUUUUGUUCACAUCAUAAGUAGUUUUCAUAUUUCAAAGUAAAUCUUAUCGAGCCAUUAUAUGAUCUCUCCCUAGUUAAAAGUUGCAUGUUUCUCAACGUGUAAGUACAAUAUUCAGUAAGUAACAUUCCUGCAGGUUAUACGGUACAAUUGACAAUGGUGGAACAUCGGGCAGCAAGUAUCAAACAUAGAAAUAUAUUUAGCAAUGUUAAUUUGAUGAGAUAUCCUCUCCAACCAAGCGACAUUUUGCUAAUCGCAUACUUGUCGUAGAUACAGACCUGACAAACGAACUUUAACUUUAACUUUAACUUUAUCGACUUUAACUGUUUACACAUUUGAUGUUAUGUGAUUCGAAAUAAUGAACCUUUAUAAUUUGACAACAUGAAAAAUAACAUAGAAUGUUCAUAAACGGCUCGCCUGUUUGUUCUUUCACAUUUAGUAAAAAUAUAAGUGUCCAGAAUCUCAGAAAUGAAAUCUGUAACUGGACUGGGUACGUGUAUAUAAAUUUAUAUUUUCAUGAAUACAGCUACAGAAAUAGAAUUUUUGUACAAAUAGGGAUUUGUGUUUCACUUUUGUAUGUAUUCUAUAUGUUUCUGCACAUUUAAAUUCCCCAUAUCAUAAUCAUAGUUUUAAUCAUAGCUAAUAUACUCGUAUUACGUAAGUAAGAAAUAUAUUAAUAAAUUUUCAUGUUUUAACGAAUAAAGAUACAUUAUUUAUGUAUUUUUUGUGCUAUUAUUGAUCUUGACCGUAUAUUUACUUACAUUCAAUCUGUUUUAUCGUUCUAAGGACACUUCCGAAAUAAAUUCUUCUUUAUCAUUCGACUUAACGUUAAUUAAAUUUACAUACACGAUUAAGACAAUUUUCUCAAUCAAAAAUAAGUAUGAGGAACAAAACGAGAUAAUCACGAUCGGAAUAAAGAUAACAUUAUACUGUGAGUCAUCAGUAGUUGCGCGUAAUUGAUGAUUUAUGGAAAUUAAAAAUAUUUUAAUAUUGUUAAUGCCCAACUUUCCGACAAUUUACACUACGAUUUUACUUAUUACAUGUUUUAACACGUAACAAUGUAAUAUGAUGUGUUUUUCGAUGCAUUACUAUAGCGUAUAUGUGAACCGUUCAGAACUCGUAUACUAAUCACUUCCAUAAAUUAAACAAUAGAACAAUGUAGUGAUACUAUAAACAUUAUUUAUUUUUAAUUUGCUCAGGAAUUUACGAUUAUUUAUUUUAUAUUCUUAGAGUGGAGAUAUAAAUAUAUAUUAUUGAACUUAUACUUUAUGAAAUUAAACACCAAUAAAAUUAAAAAAUGUAUAAAAAGUGGAGGUGAAGUUUGGCUUUUGAGAAGCUUAUAUGAGAGAGUGCAUGCAAUACAAUGGAAUGCACAUACAUAUCACAAUUCAAGAAGGAAAUAUGGAAUAACAUACGUGACUAGCGCAACUAUAAAUACGUCCUCUAUGCAGGAGACUCCUGUGCCACCUUGUUGAGAAUUUUCUUCUUCAGAUACUCUUUAUGCUCAAAUUACUAUUUGUAAAUAUUGUGCGCUUGAAUUGGUCAUGUGAUGGAUAAAAAUACCAAAUAUCCAUAUAUGUCCAUUAUAAUAUAGAUAUUAUGUUACAUCAUCGACAGACUGUCGCUGUUAGGUACAUAUAGAUUGAGUAACUGUUAAGAUUUAGUUUAGGUUUAUUAGUAAAUAAAAGAAAGAAACUAUAAAUUAAUAAA
Molecule: long non-coding RNA, 3221 nt
Organism: Bombus huntii
Lineage: Eukaryota; Metazoa; Arthropoda; Insecta; Hymenoptera; Apidae
Exons: 2
Source: RefSeq, a predicted model, not a curated record